ACUAAGGAGCUUGCUCCUUAGUUUAGUGGCGGACGGGUGAGUAACGCGUGAGCAACCUGCCUUUCAGUGGGGGACAACAGUUGGAAACGACUGCUAAUACCGCAUAAAAUAACGAGUGGGCAUCCACAUGUUAUCAAAGAUUUAUCGCUGAAAGAUGGGCUCACGUCUGAUUAGUUAGUUGGUGGGGUAAUAGCCGACCAAGACCGCGAUCAGUAGCCGAGCUGAGAGGCUCAACGGCCACAUUGGGACUGAGAUACGGCCCAGACUCCUACGGGAGGCAGCAGUGGGGAAUAUUGGGCAAUGGGGGAAACCCUGACCCAGCAACGCCGCGUGAAGGAAGAAGGCUUUCGGGUUGUAAACUUCUUUUAAGAGGGAAGAAAAAAAUGACGGUACCUCUUGAAUAAGCCACGGCUAACUACGUGCCAGCAGCCGCGGUAAUACGUAGGUGGCAAGCGUUGUCCGGAUUUACUGGGUGUAAAGGGCGCGUAGGCGGGCUAGCAAGUCAGAUGUGAAAUACCAGGGCUUAACCCUGGGGCUGCAUUUGAAACUGUUAGUCUUGAGUGAUGGAGAGGCAGGCGGAAUUCCUAGUGUAGCGGUGAAAUGCGUAGAUAUUAGGAGGA
RNAcentral lists this ribosomal RNA (620 nucleotides) under uncultured bacterium. Its description in RNAcentral is "bacterial SSU rRNA". It matches the Rfam family "Bacterial small subunit ribosomal RNA", at positions 70 to 705 of the family's 1533-position model. The record is from RNAcentral.